AGAAUCAACGCUGGCGGCGUGCCUAACACAUGCAAGUCGCACGAGAAAGGGUAGCAAUACCUGAGUACAGUGGCGCACGGGUGAGUAACACGUGAAUAAUCUACCUCCGAGUGGGGAAUAACUGAGAGAAAUCUUAGCUAAUACCGCAUAACACUUAUGAGUCAAAGCAGCAAUGCGCUUGGAGAGGAGUUCGCGGCAGAUUAGUUAGUUGGCGGGGUAAUGGCCCACCAAGACGAUGAUCUGU
Molecule: ribosomal RNA, 244 nt
Filed under: uncultured bacterium
Lineage: Bacteria
Description: partial small subunit ribosomal RNA
Rfam family: Bacterial small subunit ribosomal RNA
Source: RNAcentral